Molecule: long non-coding RNA, 974 nt
Organism: Papaver somniferum (opium poppy)
Lineage: Eukaryota; Viridiplantae; Streptophyta; Magnoliopsida; Ranunculales; Papaveraceae
Exons: 3
Source: RefSeq, a predicted model, not a curated record
AACUUUUGGUGUAUGCACGUAUAUUUCGUCGUCGUUUCUUUCGUUGGUGAACGUACUUUUGCGCAGCUCCGUGUUUUUGUAUUCCCGUUGGUUUAUCACGAUCUCUAACUACAGCCGUUCGAUUCAACUUUGAACUUUCCAUUUGAUUUUUCUUUUCUUCGACAAUUUUUCUUCUCCCCUUUCUCUCUUCUAAACAGCUCCAACAACUGAAUCUGCAUCUGGAUUUGAAGCAAUUUCAAACAAUCAAUGGCGGAGACGAAGAAUUAAGUCACUACUUCGAUUAGAAGUUAAACACGAAGAUUCAAUGGAUGGAAUCAUGCGACCAUACUUAUCCAUUACCAGCAAGGAUGAAGAAGUGAUGUUAAAGCUAUGUAGCACGCUACACAAGUGUGAGCAUUGUUGAUCAACGAGAAAUGCAGGGGAGAACACAUUUGGUGGAGUUCGUCUUAGCAUGUUCACCACUGCAUGUUACAGUGUACAGAAUUUGCUUGCUGAGUAGUGUUGUGUACAUGAUGCUUACAAUAUGUGGCAACUGCUGGUUCUGCUACUGCUGCAGCAUUCGGCUUAAUCAUGUCAGGUCGCCUUUAGUGGUGCACGAGAAAUGUGUUCUGUUUUGGGCACUGCAGUUGAAUACCCACUCGGUUAGGCUCAUUUAGAGCUGCCAGAUAGGAGAGGAAAAGGGUGAGGUGAGGUGGGAUGGUGGGGAGCAUCAGAAGAUCAAAAUAACAGGUAAUCCCUAGAUUAUGUCUAGGAAAAGAAAUGAAAUGGAGAAGUGAAAAAAACUUGGCAACAUUUUGAACAAACAAUAUGGCUCAGACAACAUUACCCCCAAUGCAAAGUAAUCCCUAGAUUGUGAAAUCUAAGAGCCGAAUAGUGAUGACAGUUUCCUAUUCAUUUUAUCUAUUUUUCCAUUUGUGUCAUCCUAAUUUUAAUGGUUAUUUGUGUUACUUCUUUUAAGUUGCUAAUUUCUUCUA